CUGGCACCUGAAAUUACCGAGUAAACAAUUAUGUUAAAUAAUUUAGAGCUACAUAUUGUGACUAUUCCUAAGCAGCAAUCAAAACCUAAUGUGUUUAUAUGGAUUUAAUACAAUGUCUUAGGCUUCUCAGAGAAGCUACUUCUACACUUUAAUGCUUUAGCAGCUUACACUGAGACACUUAAUGGAAACUGAGGGUUGGUACUUAAGGCCAUGGGAAGUGAAAUGUUCCUUGUUUACCUUGCAAAUAUUUGGAAACUAAUUAUUCCUUAUAUUCUCAAUAUCUCAUUUUGAAUUUGGGGGAUAUUUUAUCCAUAGGGUAGAAACCUAAAAAAAACAACCCCCAAACAACCAUAACACACCUCCCUCCCCCCUCCUCCCAACCCCCAAAAAAUCAAACCAGACCAAAAAUAACCCACAAACAAAAAAAACCAACAAACCCAAAAUAAGGCAAAUAUAAACAGCUGAAGACUGUGGACAACAUAUUUGGGGUAAGUGGAAAGGGUAAAUUUGGUGCUGACCUGGCAGGCUCAUGCUCGGGGUAUCAGUGAUCACUUCUUGAGCAGAACACUGGUCAGGACCUGAAGUGCCCGAGUGCUGCCCUUGGACAUGCACCAUGUGCAGCUGGGACUGACCCGGAGGGCACCCUCAGUGCCUUCUCUUCAGGACGUGUGGCAGGCUGAGCCCGGGGCAGGAGGUGCUCCAGGCAGUGUCCCUGGGCCUGUCCCACGGUGAUGUGUGCAGCCAAGAGCCCUUAGCAGGGCAAGGAUGGGAUGGAGGAGGAGGGGCUGGUGCAGCAGCUCCAAGUCCUCAGCUGGGCGUCUCUUUGGGGAGCUGGUGAGUGUAGGGCUGAGGGACUCUCAUGGCUGCAGUGCAGCCCCUAAGCCUGGGGGAAGGGCAGGGAGACCCCAGGAGCAUAGCUUCUCUCAGGAUGAGGGAUGGGGGCAUCCUGGUGUGCUGAAUCUCCAAAAGGGAGCAACUCUGGAUCAAAUAUACCAUUUGCGUUGCUGACACUUACAGAAUUCACAGUGGUUUGUAUAAAAACCUGGCAAAGACCCUUUUGAUGUGACAGAGCUCUGCAUUAUGUAGCACCAGGCACCCUGUUUGCUGGAGAGACCUGAGCUCCACUGUUGCAAUGGAGACAACACUUCAGGCUCCAUUCUUGGAGCGAGAGGGCUGCUAGGAUAUAAAUUUUUUCUCUUUGCCUACAAAACAGGCAGGAGGAAAUUUGUCUGAUCUAGCAGCAGGAGCUGGUACUUUCUCAAGCUGAACAGCUCAGUGUGUGUGGAAGGGGGUCAGACAGACCUGUUUCACUGACUGAUGGACUCCCAGGUUGAAGCUGUGAGAUAAGUGCAUGCUGCUCUUCUCCUGUGAAAUGAGUUGCUGACCUCAAAGUCUGGGGUGAGGAGAUCCACAGUGUGCCCUUCUCGUGAAUUUUCUUUAAUCUAGAAAAGAACAUUUGCCUUCCAGUGAUGCAUCUGUUUUGCUUUCCAAAGUUGACAGUGACGCUGAUCGAAUGUAUUAUUUGGUGCUACAGUAGUGCAGUUUAAGAGAACGUGGAGCUUAUUAAUAAUUAUUAAUCCCUUGACAUCCACAGGUGCAGGUGGGUGGUAAUUUGGUCUCCUCCAGUGUAUGAAUUAUUCAUAGAUUUUUUAGAAUUUGUAGGUAGACAUUAAAUUAUUCUUCUGUUCCCAGAUGAGAUGAAUGAUGGAAACAAACAUAAAAAACAAGAAACAAAAAACCAUGCCUCUGCUCCAAAGUGAAAAGUCAAUACAUAUUCUCAUAAUGAUUCCGGGGGUUAUAUGGUAGAGCUUUGGGUCAUGGUAAUCUGUCUAGUGAAUUUGAGCAAAGGCAAGGAGUGGAGAAACACUUAUGAAAAAUAUAAAGGAAAAUGUAACAGGAAUUAAUGAACUCAGUGCUACUUGGAAGCUGGUCUGACAUAGAUAUAUAUUCCUCCCGCAGACAGUUUCUUGGAGAGAGAGUCUAUUUUAGAGGGAGAUGGUUAGGCAUGAAGUAUAGCAUUAAGUCUUCAGCCUUGGAGGUAUGAUUGAUUUAUUUGGAAAUGAUGAGUGAUUAUGUCCUAAUGAUGUUUUGAAAGACAUGAAGUGCAUUCCACUAUGCGAGUGACCCUUGGCUUUAAAUUCCAAGAGAUGACAGUUCCUGGGCACGUCAGUGAAGGGACAGAGGGAAACUGGCACAUUGUGCCACUGUAAUCAGUGUGAAACUGUGUCAUCUGUUUGAUUUCAGUAGCCAAUUCUCCAAGAAACCUGAGAAAGCUGUAACUAGGGGGUUGGUGGUUGGGAAUAGAUUAACAGAAAUACUUUCAUCGUUCUUUAUAGAAGUAGUUUUGAUAUUUUUUACACCUCCUGGUCUUUUGCUGAGAAGCUGGAUCUGUUUUGCUUUGUGUCCAUUUUUUGUGAUUCAUUCUUUCUGGUCUGUGAUACCUGGGUAGUUUGGUUAUCCACAGUUCAAUUGCUGUGCCUCCUGCUAAUACUGUGUUGUGGUGUUGUAAGAGAAUCCACUUAGCUUAACAGCUCUGUGGCUGCUUCUCUCUCCCACCUCAUUUUCUGAAGGUGAAGAUGCCAAAUAAGCAAUGGUCAUGAUUCUUGGAGACCUCUGGGGAUGUGUUUGAACAGAAACAUCCUUGAAGACAUGGAUUUUCCUUUCAUAAUAGUUGCUGAACACAGUAAAAAAAAAUCAGAUGUACAUCUUAUAAUUCCAUCCCAACAGUGUGACAAUCAGUGGCAAAAAAUUUGGGAAGUCUUUACUGUUGGAAGCUAUCUCUCUCCAACACAAAGAGAUAGCAUUAAUGAAUCAUCUUGCUGUAAUACUGAGAGUCCUUUUAAAGUGUGAGGCUAAGAGCUUUUAAAUUUAAUUUAUACCACAGGAUCUGAUUUCCAGCUACACUGAUCUGUUGUGUCUUCGCUUGCACUAAUUGUAACAAAGAUGUAAUAGUCAAUAGUGUAACAGGAAGUAUUAUCUAUAAAGAUGUUUGCUGUUAGCUCAUAUCUCAAAUUACUCUGCAACAUAAGUGCUAUAUACAGAUCUGAACACCACACUUUCAGAAAGAGAAAGAUCAAUCAGAGAGAUUCGUGUAAUAGUAGCCUUCAAAUACCUAAAAGGAUAUUGCCAUAUAAAGGAAUUUUACUUUUUUCCUUCAUGUCCUUGGUGCACAGCAUAUACUGCAACACAGGAGGUUCAGGACUUUGGUAAAGCUUGCUAAUGAUAAAGGCAGCAAAGCCUCAGUGAAAGUGGCAUACAGUGGCAUAGCUGUGGAGUCCACAUUAAUGAAAGUUAAAAACAAGCCAGGAAGGAGUCUGUCUGGAAUAGAUAUAAUUAAUAGGUGUUGUUAUCUCUGCCUUGCUGACUUCAGUCCCUUCUUAUAACACAAAAUGAUGUUUCUUUCUUAUAUGUAAUGUAUUUUUCUCUUAAAACAUUGUUAGUGGAUUGUGUGUAUUCAAUUAUAGUAAUUUGUCAGUGAAUUUCCCUUCCAUUUUCUGUUAUUAAUAGUAUUGUGCAGCUCUAAUGUGUGAAGGCCAUAAUGCAUAUUGGGAGUUUUACCAGGCUAUAAAAGCCUGUAGGAAGUCCUCAUGCUAACAAGCCUACAGCCUGAAUAAUGACCAGGUGAAAAGUACGAGAUGGAGUACAGUAAUUUUUACAGAAAACCAUGUUUUCCUUAAAAAGCUAUGACCUGAAAGAAGUCUUUUGAGUCCAAGUAUCAAUUUGCUCUUUGAGGAACUUCAGUAAGGCUGGAGAUGGCAAUUUUUGCAGGAUUUCUUUCUGUUUAAGGAUCUUAGCAAAUUUAAGCUCGGAAAUUAUCUGUUGAGAGAGAUGAGAGAAAGAAGAACAAUGCAACACAGCCAUAUGGGCUUUGUUCUUACACAUGGUUUGACUCUGUGGGGGACAUCAUUCUCCAGCCUGUCAAAGCUCAGCAUACAACGAAAAGUUCUGAUGUAAUGGAUUUUCUUUUUAUGAGCAGUCAAUUUGUCUGGAGCCCAGGCCUUUAAACUUGGCUGACAGGAAAAUUCUCUACUGAGAAUUGACUGGCAGACAAACAACACUGGAAUUCUAAGUAUUUCUUAUAUCUCUGAAGAAUCUGGGUUUCCUUUAUAAUACCUUAAUUAUAAAAGCUAUGCUUUUAGGAUUGCUCUUAAUUGAAUACACUUGUUUAUUUUCUUCCUACCAUGUGAGUUUCCCAACUCCAGCCAACUCUGUCUAGCCAGAGGUGUUCCCUGCAGACUGAAAAUCAUUUAGAUGGUUUAUUUUAUUGUAUGCCUAACUCUUUGUAUUCCAAUCACCUGAUUGACCCGAAUCUGUCCAAAUGUAGUUGGAUUCAGUGGUCUUUAUGGGUCCCUUCCAACCUGAGAUAUUCUAUGAUUCCACUGUUUAUAUAGAAAGGUCAAUAACAAGGAUGACACUUAAAAACUGAGCUCCCAGCUACUACCAUUAAAAGUUCUUUCGCUGCUUGAGAUUACAGCUCAGAAAGAUGUAGGUGAAUAUUAAGGCAACUUUUAGCAGGAACUAUUUGUCUAAUUUGCAAGUCCUUACAGUGCUGCUGAAACAGCACUUACAGGAGGGUAAAGAAAUGCUGCCUGCACUAGAGACAAGCUAUGCAGCUAGAAUCAAAUGCUCAUGAUGUCUUCUCCUGGCACAGCUUCCUCUGUGCUGGCACAAAUGUCUGAUGAACAAAUGUCUCUGAUCCCAGGGGGGAAAUUUCUAUCCCAUCUGGUGCAGCUCCACAUCCUUUACUGUCAAACAGGGGAGUAAAGGUUGCUUAGCAUGAAUGACUUCGCUCAUGGUGCUUUCUUGUUACUCAGUUUGUUUGUCAUGCUGCAUCUUCAGCAGCCUCUGAAACGUUUUUACAAAGUCCCCUGUGGAGGAAGGAAAAAGUGUGGCUUUGAACAAAUGUCUUAAGAUGGAGAGUCAUGUCUGUUUUUUCUUUUGAUCCCACUGCCUGGCCAGUUUAGAGGUUGUAUGCAGUUCUGAUGGAUGCACUGCUUUAUCUCCAUCUUAGCAGGGGAAAUAAAAUAGUAGCUUUGUCUACUCAUCAAUACAUUGCUGAUAAAAGAAGUAGUUGUCUUUCAUGAUUGGGCAUGCAUACUGAAGCCCUGUCUGAAAGCCUUUUGUUCCUGCUUUAAACAUGGCGAAGGGAACAGACAAUGGAAAAAAUAAAGUAGGUUUGAUUGCAGCAGAGUUGUUUGGUUUUAUUGCUUUGAUUUUUUACACAAAUUGACUAAAAUGGAAAUGAAGACUGUUGUUUUCUAGUGGGGUUGGUAAACAUUCAAUAAGUUUUUUGAAGUUUCAGAUUUUAUGUAGUGAAUGCGCACAGGAGCCUUGGAAGCGGUCAUUCUUGUGUGGUAUAUAUUCUCUCCAAUUCCACAAUGAAAAAUUGUAAUAAAAGAACACAAAGAUCUGUAAUUCAGUGCUGCUUCAGAGGCUUUUCCUUUUGCUCUGAACAGAGUACUAAUUGCAGAGAUUUGACAGCUCUUGGGUAUUCGUCACAUGUACUUGCCCUUACUUUAGAUGUUUAAUUUAGUUGCAAAAUAAUUCUUCUUGAAUUUGUAAUUGUAAUAAUUGCCAUUAAUAACCUGGCAAGGUAGUUGGCCUUUGGCAUUACAUCAGGGGAAAAAUGAUAGUAAGAUAGCUCUUGUCUGAAGAUUUAGAGAGCUAGAGAACAUCAGGAGGUCGGGGGCGGAUGGAGGGGUGUUGAGGGAAGAGAAUACCAGAAACAAGGCAUCAUGACAGGCAUCUUGGGGUUUGCAAUCGGGAUUUAUGCAACAGGCUUAUGCAAUUUGGCUGUACUUCUUUGUAGAGGAAGAAGACAAGGUGUCAAAUGCAAAAGAAAUAACAGGGAGGAUGAGGAAGGUGAAGGCAGGAGAGCGUGAAAUGACAGGCAGUUGGGAGUAUUUUGGAAGUAGAACAAAGCCCUGUGCUGAGAGCUGUAUCAGUGGUGGCUCAUGCAACAGCAAAGCAAAAAGUAUUUUUCCACGGGUAGGCUGCCCAUUUCAGUAGAUGAAUAACUCAUCCACACUGAGGUAGGAUGAUCCUACAGUGGAAGGGGUGGGCUUCUCAAAGCAGUAUGUGUAACAGCAGCUGUCUCCCUUUCACUGAUGGUCUGCUCCUGGUGCAGUGGCCUGGUGGAAGGCAGAGAAAGCAAUGGUGACCUUGCUCUGAGGGUGCAGGAGUAGCAGGGCUGCCUGAGUGUGAGGGGAGUCCUGAGCUGGGGACAGCAGUGGGCUCUGUCAGGAGCCCCAAGGUGAUGCCCAGGGAGCCUGGCUGGGACAGCAGGGCACCAGGGGCUUGGCCAAGACAAAAGAGUGUCCUUGGGCCUGAAGACAGAGGCAGGCUGGAGGGAGUGGGGAGCCAGGGUAGGGAGAAAAGGCAGGUGGUCAUAGAAAUUAAUGCUUGUCAUUGCCACUCAGACCUGGCAGGAUUGCCCCUCCCUUGUGUCGGGAAGAAUUAAAAGGUGGUCAGUCUUUUAGUGGUAAAUGUGACCAACAGCUACCUAGUAUGUUGUCUUCCAUUUUUCUGAGGAUAGCUCUUCCUCUGCUUUUCCACUGAUGGUGACUAACAUCCAGGUGAUUUCAAGAAGCCAACUCCAGGACAUAGUUAAAAAUAAAAAAGUACAAGGAGAGGUGUGUGCCAAAGACUGAUGCUGCUGUGCCAGACAGCUGCUGCUGCAGAUGUGGCUGGGCGUGAGGGCAGCUGAGCCAGAGAGACUGAAGCUGUAGGUCAGGGGAUCUCUGGAGCUCUCAGGAGCUGCAUGCUCAUCCUUAUGUCCCUGCCAGUCUACAGCCUUCUCAGGCAUGGGCCGACUGUCACAACCUUUGAAUCAGUAGGUACUGUUUUGGGACUGGCUUGGGACAUGUGUGUUGUGAUUUUGUUUUAAACAAGGAUGACAACUGAUCCCCAUUCCUGCCCUUCUUGCUUGCCUUGUGUGAUGGUUAUCACAGUAGACCGAAUACAGAAAGGAGAGACAUAAGGGUCUAUAAAUUAAACCCUAUCUGCAGUUAAGCUCUUCCAUGCCCUCACCAGUGCUGUGAGUCCUGUGGCCACCAGAGGCUAGAGAGGCUGCCUGGCACCUUGUCAGCACCUGGCAGCAGGACACCCUCACACCCCUGGCUCUGGCCUCUAAAAUGAUGUCCAGACUGAUGCAGCCAGUGGUUAAUCAGGACACAGAGAGCCCUGGUCUAGCCAGUGGCCUGCCCAAAGCAAUUUCCUUCGCUUUGUUAGAAAGGAGAAGCAUCUUUCCUCACUUCUCAGUGGAACUGGAAAAGUACAGUAUGUAAUUUUUCUACUGCCUGCGAGCAGAAUUUGAAUUCUUCUCUAUUCUUUAAAAUAAGAGUUUGCAUCUCAUUCACUGAAGUUAAAACGUUCCUCAAUGAGGAAAAAAUUUCAACUCUGCCUAUCCCAAGCUGUCAAAGCAUGCAAGAGCAGCAAACAGAUUGUGGGUACCAUUAGAAAGCAUUAGUGUCUAAUUACUUCAAAAUGGACCACAAGGGAAAAUGAAAGUUAUCUAUUCUUGGUAUUGCUGUUGUUUCAUUUGUCGAUAAGCACAUCAGUCUUUGGCACUCAUUUUGGCUGUGAAGGAGUGUGAUUGACUAAUAAAUGUGUGUUCCUUUGUAGUCAGUUGCAGAAUGUUGGAAUAUUUUUGUAGCAAAAUCUUACUGGAGAAUCUCAGGCACGUUUUUUUUCCCUUAGCUACACAAGUGGAAUAAAAAUAUAUUUCUAUACUCCUCAUUUUCAAUACUAGAGCUGCUAAAGCAGCUGUGUAUCUUUUUUUCACUUGCAGCACAGUCAUUUGAAUAUGUGACCUCCAAUUUCUGUACAGAAGUUGUAGCUUAAAGGGUAAGACCAGACUAUGUACAGAGCUAGCAGAAAUGAUUCACUGGCUUUUAAAUCCAAACUGAUGGCCUUCAUAUCGCUGUUGAGUUUGUGAACAAUGGAAAGUCAAUGGGUUUGGUUUGAAAAAGGAUGCAAUACCUUGAUAAAACACAGCAAUGUGUCACCCUGUGAUGUUCUGGAACACAAUAAGUGUUUAAUAUGAUUUUCUUCCACCUGAACAAACACUGUCAAUUUGCUCUUGGACACUUAUAAUUUGCUCCUACAUAAUUUCUCUUUCCUUGCUUCUACCCCACUCUUUAUAUGUCAGGCAUUGCUUGAUGAAAAGAGGUGCUUAUUGAAAAAAAAAAAAAAAGUCUGAUCAGGAGUGUAAACCCUUAGAAAAUAAGACUCAAUGCUGUGGAAGAAAGUUUGCAGCAGCUCAGGGCAAUGGCCUGUGUAAUUGCCAGGUCAAUCAAGCCAUGAAGCAGAGGGCAAAGGCUUUGAUUUCUACUCCUCCCAUUCGCAAGUACAUGCUGGGCUGUCAUUGCCUUCAGCUCCUACCCUUAAAAUCUCUCAAGCUGCCUUUCUGCUGGUGAUUCAUACUGGGAAAUAAACUUGCAAUAAGAGCAUUAGUAUAUAUUUUGAAAUCACAUUCAUUAAGCAAUUUUUUCAGAAAAAAUAGCUCUGCUGGACAUCUGACAAGAGACAACUUGUGUGACUUUGUAGGCUUUGAUAUUUAGUUAUUAGAAGAGGUACAUUUUGUUUUCUUUUCAUUGGUUUUUUCCCCACUGAGACAGUCAAUGUUAUCAGUUGAUUUCUCUAGGUUAUCAGACACAUGUUGAGAUAGAGGGCAGGUUUUGAAGCAAAUCUACAUAUAAAAUGUGCUGCAAGUGUCUGAUCUUUGACAGUCAAACAAACUUAGCUUACGGAAUCUAUCUUCACCUGUAGACUGAUUCCUUUCAUUUUGUUUGUUUCUUUUUUUUUUAUUGUGAAAGGAAAACAUGAUAAGUUGGUCAGUGAUCCAAAACUAGCUCAACUCAGCAGAAAAAGACAGUAAUUACUGCUUGACUCCUGUGAUCUAUUUUAGCCCCAGCUGAGUUUUUAAAGAGUGAUGUGAAAAGCCUUUAACAUAGUCGUGUUUUGUUAUAUUAAAUCACCUUCUGAACAAUCUCAUAGAGUAGACAAAGAUUUAGUGACCAGUGACGUAAACCUACUCGUCACAUUGAUGACAGCUUGUUGCCCCAGACUUGGGAAGGGUUAGAGUUACAAAUCUGUUUGAUUCACUUUCUGAAAAGAAAUUAAAGCGUUUGGCAGUCAGCCUAGGACCUUACUAAACAAUCUGAGAGAAAAAAGUUACUUUCUUUCGCUGCUUUCUCAAGGGAUGAGGUAGAGUCAGUGCAGUUCAAAUGAGCUUUGGAAGCAGUAGGUGUCUAUUGUUUGAACCAGAGUCACUGGACUAAGGCAGGUAGCCUGCAACAGGGCUGCCUCAGGGAUAUGAUUUUACCCAUUAAACAAAUUCACACAGAGAAAGGUUAAGGUUGGAAAGUUCCUCUGGAGACCAUUUAGUCCCCUCCCCUGCUCAGGCAGGGUCAGCUAGAGAAGGUUGCUCCGGACUGGGACUCCAAGAAGGGAGACUCCACAACUCCUCUGGGCAACAUGUUCCAGUGUUUGACUCACUGUAAAGCAAUUUUAUUUUUUCUGUUCAAGUGUAAUCUCCUGUAUCCCAGUUUGCAUUCACUGCCUCCUGUUGACAAAUACUGACAAAGUUCUUCCAUAUUCGGACACAUCUGCUGAUGCUAAUUUUCCUUUUUAGGUCCUAACUUUUAAUUUUCUUUUUCUACUUAUACUGCUAGCCAUUUAUUUGAUUGCUGGGUUUGCUGAUUCCACUUGUUUUUUGGGGCUGCAGUCUUGUAACUUCAAAAUUCCUUUGUUUUGCUGGGAAUUUGUUGUCCUGUGAGGUGAAGGCCAUAGGGUAACAGAAACUGUAAAACAUACUUUUUCCAUGUGCAAGCAGCAGAACAUGAAGGUCUGGAGGCAGCAAACAAGUAGCAUGUAAAAAACAGCUGUCUUGGUUAUACUUAUCAAAGCUGCUUCUUUGCCAACGUGUUGCUCCUUGCCCCAUUUUUUUCCUUUAGAAUGUGUCUCUCAGUCCCUCCUAUGGUUUACUCUUUGGUUAUGACCAUCCAGUGUUUUUCUUCAGACUAGAGAAGAUUUUUAUUCUCACUAACACUGUGGGGUGCACCUUUAAAAUUUUCUAUGUAACUGUGUAUAUUUUCAGAAGACUUCUAGCAGUGCAUAGAUCAUCUUGAAGACUGAAAAUUCGAGAAAACUUACCCUCAUGUGAAAAAAAAAAAAGGGUAAGUUUAAAAAAAGCACCCAGAAAAAUAAUGUUUUUGCUCUUGAGUGCUUUUGGAAAAUAGUUGUCAUUUCUUGGAAGGGGUUAAAAAAAAAAAAUCAAUAUUUUUUUGAUUUUUAAAUUUCAUCAGAGUGUUUCCUCCAUGUGAAAAAUUUUUCUAGAGAAGCAGGAACAGAUUCAACCCCUAUUCUAGGAUUUACCUCACAUUUCAUGAAUAUAAAAAUAUAUAUUGAUUUUUCUAAAAGCAAUUCCCAUAGCAGAAGCCAGAAGGAUCGCUGUCUUGACUUUGCAUCCUUUAAAAUCCUAAUUAUAAAUUUGAUCUGCCACUCCAUUUGAAUUUUAAAAAAAUAUUAACCACUUAGCUUGGAACUACAUUUGUGUUUUCUAAAAAUGUUGUUUCCUUUUGCAGAAAAACAGCAAUAUCUUUUUUUCUUUUUUUUUUGGUGGUUUAACUAAUAUUUCCCCAUCUGUGCUUUGCUUCUGCACUCUCUUUGUGGGAAAACUGAAGUCACAACCAGAAUGCCUGGCAACAGAAGCAAUGGACUUGAUAUUUAUAUUAGAAUUGUAACACAUGGACAUCUGUUCUCUCUACCCUUUAAAAGAUAUUGCUUCCAAGGACUAAUAUUUAGUUUUUUCAAUUGUGGGCUGCUGAUGAUAGGUAAGGUUGAUGGGAGCCUUUAAAGAGACUCCACUCUAGCCCAUUGGGUGGUCCCUGCCCAGCAGGUGCCCCGGGGCAGAUGGAUGGAUGGACAGACAGAAGUGUCUUUUUCCAGCCUGGGGGCUGAGGCAGUGCUGGGUUGGCCUCCUUGAAGUGCUGAGGCAGAGCUGAGUGACUCUGAGCCCUCUUUCAAGUUUGCUGCUGAUUUGCUGAGAGAUCACUUCCUUCUGCCUCCGUUCUCUUACACAUAAAAUAAGAAUAUUGAAACCAGUCUCAUUUGAUCAAAUAUUUUGAGCUCUACCGAAGGAAAUGUGCUGGUCUUAGAGGUCUUCAUCACUAAGACAUUCACCUAUAAAAGAGAGAGGACCAAAGAAAUUUCAGUACUGCAGAACAACAGCAACAGGGAGGAUGCAUUCAGCAAGAGAUUAGUAUUCAACCUUAAUAUGUGUGUCUAAUAAUUAUUUUUCUCCUGAUUUAGAGUGAGAUUUUUGUGGCAGUCAGCUUUCUGUUCAAAAGCAGUUUUGAAUGAACAGGUGGGCUGGCAUGUCUGCACUUUGCCUUUUCCUUUGGGAGCUUGAUACCUGUUAUCCCAAAAUGUCUGUACGCCGUAUUGGCAGUCCCAUAGGAACUCAGUCUUCCUGACGGUGGGUUCAGCCCCUAAACACACAUAUUCAUACAGCGGUUGAAUUACAGAGUGUUGAAGAUGUGGAUGUUGCACUGUUUAUUAUCUUCCUUCUGGAAGGUAUGUUUAAGGCUUGAACCCUGAACUGCGAUAAUUAAAAUGCCUCACCGGGGAUGCCAAGAUGAGAUGGAAAUACCUAUUCCUGGCUACAGCCGGUGUAGCCUGCCCUUAGAGCAAAUGCAGCAGAGAUAAGCCUGUUCUCUUGCUAAAGAGGUGUUGGAUAGUCUGCAUACCUACUCCUGCAUUAUUACUAGGAGGUAACAGGCUUAAUUACCCAGAUGCAAAGCAAAAGCACCCUGUGCACAAACCUUUUCAGGAGGCACAGGAGCCAGGCUGCAGCCAAACAGGGUACUUGCUCCCUUUCUGCCCUGCCUCAGGCUGCAGAUUGGUUUUGGCUUUGGGAAGUUUCUUUGUAGCAUUUCUGCGUAGGUAAGAACAUUUUUAAGUGGUAGGCUGAGGGGUAAACCGUAGCACAGGGAAGAUGGGAAGAAUGUGUCGCCCUGUUUUCUUCCCACAAUUAUUUUAUUUAAUUUUCAAACGCCAUCUAAGACAACAUUGGGGAUUGUGAUGCCCAAAUAUUUGUCUAGCAGGGGUUAGCUUGUACUGCCUAUAUUUCUUCUCUCCUGGCUACAGCGCUGUACAUUUCCACCAUCUCUGCAAUACUUCCUGCUUAGAAAUAAAAAACUGUCAGUCUUGAACGAGCUCUAUGUUAAUGCACCGAGUAUGGGGAUGAAGGAAGGCAAAAUUAUUUCUAUGCAGUGAGAGGUGGGAAAGUUACACUGUUCUAUUGAGAGGCUUGCUUGCAGUGCUCAGGCAACAAUACAAACAACAGUAGGAAAGAAAAAUGCUGCAUGAAAAGUGAGACAGGGCAUUUCACAAAGGCUGUGAUUCAAUGAUAACCUCGACCUGAAAUGUUUGGGAACUGACUCACGGAUCUAUAACUCUUAAAUCACUGAACAAACCAACACCAAAUAAAAGAGUUAGAGGUGCAGACUUCUCUGUGAGAAGUUUGUAAAAUCCUUGAUGUGCUGCUUUUCACCUUGGAAAAUCUUUCUCUCCUCUCCUGUACACACCUAUGCCAGCUGGUAAUUGCCUGAGCUGGAGGUGUGCCAUAGCCCAGCACCUUACAGCCCUUCAUCUGGUUCAGAGGUUAUUGAUCCCAGAGUGCCCUAGAAAUUAGAGCAGACAAUGCAACAAAGCACUGGGGUAACAAAACUGUCCUUUCUUUGGUGAAUAAUACUUGUGGCAUUUCAAUUGCAUUGUAUGGGUUAAAAUCAUCAGCAUGGAAACAGCAGUUUAUUUCAGCACCAGCAAAACUAACUUACUUGUCUUAAUUCGUUGGGGUUUUUAAAGACAAAGGUACAAUCCUUCUAAUUAGGGGAAAAAUAUUUUUUGUUAAGUUAACAACCAAUCUGAGAAAUCAAUUAUUUGUGUAACCCUAUUUCAUAUCAUCGUUGCAGUUGGUGCCAAGCUGUUUUAGUUCAAUGUCAUUAGCACGAAUUGUAAUCUUAGCCAUAUUAGUUUGGAGUUUGCUGAUCUUUAAGACUCUUUUGUAAUUGGCAAAAUUCUGAGGAAAAAGCCUGUGACAGAAGCUUGCAAUAAAUAUAAUUGGUUGCAGACAGCUAAACAAAUCUCUGCUUAAAACUGGUAAAGCUUGUGGUAGUAAAUAAAUGUGAAAUGGUGAGUGGGAACUGUGGAUUGGCUGGUUCAGCAGCUGAAUAGUUUAAUGAAACAGUUGAUUUAGAACUCUGUCCACAAGGCUUGGACUAAAACUCUUGUAGUAAAUCUGAAUCAUGCAUUGAUGGCCUUGGUGAAAUUAGGUUUUUUUGCUUCGUAGGAUUACAUAUCUGAUGAACAAAAAAAAAAUUGAAUUGUUAUGGUUUGCUUGGGCUUCUCUGAGACAUUUGGCUAUAAAUGCCAUAUGACAUCUGAUUUUUGGCUUUGGACAAAAACUCCAAAACAAAAAUACCUUACUUAGAUAAUGCAAGGUGUUAUGAGAAAAUGGAUAAGUUCACAACUGGUCUGCUUGCUGGCAUAACUCAACAUAGUUGUUGAUGGGAGGUUGUUUGUGAGUUUCUAGCAAUGGAUGUUUUCUGAUUCAGCAUUGCUGAAUGUUUCUGCCAUUUUGCCAAUGGUUUGAAACCUGAGGCAAUACAUACCUUGCAAAUCACUGAGUAACAAACAUUAAAUAUGAGCCUUCUGAGGCACUAAUCAAGACUGUCUACUUGUAUGACUGUUUUGGUGAUGUGCCUCUUGAUUUAGCCAACAGUAGGGUAAUAAGUGUAUGUGGGAACUGAGGGCAAGGACCUGCUUAACAGCUGAUACUCUGCCUUGGAAAGCAGUAGGCUAGAAUAAGAUAAGAGGUAGCUUGAGAAGUCCUGUCUUUAGCUGGAGCUCUGAGGGAAUGCCUGGGGCAACUAGAGGCCAGCAGGAUUUUGAAAAAGAGAAACACUUGGUUUACAAAUAAUGUGCCUGCUUUGUGGUAAGAAUUCCUUAUGUAUCUUCCUUGUGAAAUUCAAGAACUCUUGUGAAAUUCAAGAACUCUGCUCUCUUCAUCUCCAAUGCUGCUGCAAAAGCCUAAGCUGAAAGAAAAUUUGUAUAUUUCUGCAAGUACCAGACUUUGUAGGCGGCCCAGAGAUAAAAGCAAAGAUGAUGCAUCUUCAUUCAAAGAGGUGUGAUAAGUUUGGGGAUUUUUCAUUGCUGUCUUCCUUUCCUUCCAGUGAUUAGAGAUAAACAUUUCAUGGAAUAGGCUGAUGACUGGUGGUUGGAAGGAGAUCAAGCAAAUCUAAGACUCUUUCUUUUGAGAAGCAGAUUUCUAGCCACUAGAACACCUCCUUGAAAUUGCAGCUGCACACCUUUCUAUCUCUUUAUUUCAGCAGCUGGUGUAGUUAGGUUAUUUUAGUGAAUCACUUGCUAAUUUUCUACAGUAUAAUUGCUUGAUAGAAAAUAUUUUUAGAGAGAUAUGACCUCUCAGAAGUGAGUGCAGCUUAGGACCAGUCUGUUCCUGUGACACAUGAAAUACAUCCUAAUCCAUUAAGGUCAGAUGAACUGGACACUUGCUCACAGGGGCAGGGUCUUCAGCCAAAAGAAUUUAUACCGAUUAAACGCUUUUUUAGAACUCUUUGCAUGAAUUUCUAACCUUUAAAUGAGUCACCCCUUGGGAGAUCACUGAUGACACAGCCACUUGUCUCAAAAUUCAGCCGCUUGAUCUUUAUUGAACUUGAUGAGCAAACAUUUAAAUGAUAAUUGAGACACUAAUUAAAUGCGGUGCCUGUUCUUGUGAUUGAGAAUUGAAAGGAAAGACUAAAUUAUUUAGUGACAAUUUGGGGUAUUACAGGUCCAGAUCUUUAGCAGACUUGGAAGAAAGAAGGGUUUGUUCAGAUGUUUGAACUGUCUGCUGCUGCUGCCCAGUGCUCAGAACAUCACAGUUGAUCCCCUGGCAUUACAAAAGCAUCAACUAGGAGCCCAGUCACCACAGUUUGCUACUGAGUGCCAGGACAUUAUAUUUGCUCUGAUGAGCAAAAUCGAACCUUGGUUUUGUUUUGCCCUUUCUUGUCAUUUUUGUUGUGCAAUCUUGACACUAUUAUCUAUGUUGCAUUUGUAAGUUCACAUACCUUUUUAAAACACGAACUGGCUCCUGACUGCAAUCGAAUUGUUUAAUUUCGUAUUUCAAAUUAUUCUGUAUUUCCUUAAUAUCAAUUACUAAUAAAUUAGUUGCUUCUUCUUACAUUUCCCUGCCCUUUAUCGCUGUUCAUGUACAUCCCAUUUCUGUUCUUUUUCCCUGUAGAAAUACUUAUGGCAUCUGUUAAGGUGUGAGGUUAUUAGACCUAAUCAAAAUGUCUCAGGCUCUUUAGUAAGUCACGUAUUACUGUAUUCACAAAUGACUUUAGGUGACUAUUCCUCCCAGUGCAGUCGAGUAUCACUGCUACUCUGUCUGUCCAGGAAGCAGAAAAUGAAACUCGUGCUUGGCACUUCCAUAGGGAUCUCUGAGGUAGGUAAAAAUUUCAUCAUUGCCAGUGAUUUGUGCCCUGUGCAGAACAGAUUUGUUCAACAGGCCUGACAAUACUUAUGAGCUUGGUACAGCGCCAGUUUUGCUUCCUCCUUUCCUAUCCUUUCCAUACCGACAGUGUGCAGCAGACCAAUUUCCUUCACUGGGGGGAGUCAGGAACUGCUAUGGGAACAGAUGCUAGGGAAGCAGAUGGGGUAAGAGUUGGUUUGGAGCAAUGACAACUCCGUAACCUUUCAGCGUCAGCCUGAGAUUGCAACUUUCCCUGUAUUCCCUGGCAGAAGGCAAGUCCAGGCACAGGAGAAAGCACAGGCUUAGCCCUGCGCUCAAGCAGUGGUAGGUGGCAGCUGGGCUUAUUGAGCACAGCGUGCUGGCCCUGAAAAGGCAAAUCCUGCUGGAGCAGGGCUUUUCCUGUGUUAGAAAGGAAGUACUUCGGGCUUUUUGAAGAGUUUGGCCUCGCAGGGCCUACCAGCCCAGCAGCAAUAUGAACUCUUGUUUUACAUGUACUGAAACAGAUGCUCUUUGUGAACUGACCUAAAGUUGCUUCUCUGGUAAGGGACAUUGACUCCCACGCUGUUCUGUAAAACUGAGUGACAAGUGUGUGUCCCCGACCACCCAGAAGGCCCAGGGCAGAGCAAGGUGUGACAUAAAGAUGCACAGCCUCCCAGCCACGCAGCUGACACGUGGUUCCCCACGUGGAGCACAGCUGGGCUCUCCUCCAUUUCCACAGGGGCAAAGUCAGGAGUUUUGUUCCUCUUUGUCUUUUGUUAAGGGGCAAGGGGAUGUUUGGUGUUUGUGUUUGCACAUUUUGGAGGAAAAAAAACCCCAAACAACAGCAAUAUGGUUCUCCACCGUGAUUUAUUUGGCUGUUUCAUAGUAUAGUGGAGAACUUCAAAAUUCUAAGGACAUAAGUCUUCAGUAGCUGAAUUAAAUUUGCUCUUUCAGCUAGGUAAAAUCCUGUUUAAAUGUUCUCAAUUGAAAAUCAGGAUUUAAAACAUGUAAUGAGGCUGCAGGGAGCUCCUUCUUUUAAAGUAUGUAUCCCAGAUACCCCAGGUGGUUUCUUCAGGAUGCGUUACAAAAUAUUAACUAUGGCAAACUACAAGGCUAAGGCCAAACAAGUUCUUUUUGGGUCACGCAUUAAUUCUUUCUGGUGAUUGAUAAACACGAAGAUUGUUAAGAUUAAGAGAUACCCUUCCUUUUAUUUAAAAAUGUACUUCAAACCUGACCAACUGACCAUCAAAAUAAUUUAUAUUUUUUCAACCUUGAAAUAUGUUUUAGUUAAUGGAAUUUCCUCUUCUGAAGCUGAAUGACUGUUAACACAGAAUCUGACUCAAAAGCUGCCUUCCUAUGCAUAAUUUAUUUAGCAGGGAGCCAAUGAUAACAUAUUAGCACAUACCUGAAGAUGCUUGGUCCCAUUGUGAUGAGAGGCCUUAAGAGCAAUGGCAUGGAUGUGAUGGGACUGGAAAUAAAAUUAAUGUAAUUGUACAUUUAGUGCAUUUGUUCACAGAGCUCCCAAAAAUUUUCUUUAUUAAGUGACUGUCACUUGAGAAGCAAUAGAAGAGCAAAAAUAAAUGACUUUGUACAGCACAUCUUGGUUUGCUGUAUUACUCUUCAACGUAAGAUUUUACCUUGUGUCUCAGGACCACAUGAAUCACAGCGAAGGGAAGCUGACAGCUUCCUAAUACUCUUUUUGCAUGAGCCUGUCUAUCCCUUUUCCAUCCAUUCAUCCAAAACCCAAAAUUAAACUAAACAAAAACCCAGCGCGGUACUUGGCUGAAAUACUUUUCUGUAUAUGUAUAUAGACCUAAAUCAGAGACUUUUCAUAAAGUACUGUGUGUUGGGUAACUUGGAAUAAAAAUACUGUUCAGCUGAUGGCUCAUGCUGGUGGUACCUGUCAUGUGUGUCAAACAUCAGGUUUUUCAUGGUGCUAAGUGGAAGGUGAAUGCCAAGUGGGCCUGUGUGUGUUACCAGCUGUCAGGCUGAACUUGAGAAGCACGAUUAAGGUAUCUCCCUGCAGGAAGCUGUUCUGUCAGCUGGAUCACAGUGUGGAGAUGCUGUGAUUUUCUGUGGUGGACAAAGGCCAGGCUCCUCUGAGGAGAUGUGGUCAAGCAGAGCUUUGCAGUCUGCUGCAGUGGUCGAGGUUCCUAAUCUGACACUUGUCACCAGCCAACUGCACAUUCUCCAAGAUGGGAGAGUAGUUCUGAGCGUUAGAGCAUUAGCAAAAUAUUAAAAUAUAUGUCAUUGUCACACAUUGGGCACUGUAGAUUUACAGCUUAAGAAAAAAUCAGUAUCUAUUGCUUGAGAAGGCUGAUAUCAGCUGAUAAAGCUGAUUUGUGUCAUUAUGAGAAGUCCGGUCUCAUCCAAAAAAAUUAUAGAGGAGCAGGGAUGGGUCAGCAGUUGGCAGUUUGGAGAAGAAUGUCACAACCUAUGAAUAUGUUUUCUUACAUCAUGAGUGCUAGGAGACAAAGAUGAAAACCAGCUGAUAGGAUACAGGCAACCAUUACAGAGGAAAUACUGGAUGUCAGAAGAGGGGCGGGAAGCAAUGCCAAGGUCCAGAGCACCUUUAGAUGCUGGAACCACCUGAAACCUCCUGAAAUCGCUCACCACGGCUCAAACCACUUUUAAUAAACAGGUAACUAAAAUUCAAGCACUUCCUUUAUAAAGCCUUUUGGUUUCAGGAAAGUGAAUCACUGUCUGACAGUUCGGUGGGAGGUUAUUCAUCCAGGAUUGCUUCACUCCUUCGUGGAGAUGCUUGGUGAGCAGCUCUGCACGCUGGCAGGCUGCUUCAGCCAGGCAUGUACUCCUACAAGUGCCACCUGCUCUGUUAUAAUCCUUGCCUCACUUAAGUCGCCAGCAUCUUUCUGCUUGAUCUGCAGGGUAGCUCCCUCGUGUUGAACUUGGCUGCUCUUUUAGGAGAGUAACAGUUUGAGGAGCUGUUUGGCUCAGUAGCACUUGGCAACCUCAGGAAGCAAAUGCAUUCAGCUGGGCAGUGGGCACACGUACGUGCAAGGGGGGCUGCUGUGUGCCCCAUCCUGCAGUGUUAGUUCACAGCAUGCCUGUGCCUCGGAGGCACUCGCUGUGCAGCUGACACAGCCCUCAGGCAUCAGGCAGCUGGGGAAAUUGCCACAGAAGCUUUAGCAAGAAAACACAUAAUAGCCAAAGUCGAAGGGUGAAUUGAGAUACAGUGGGGGAGGCAGCUAUUAUGUUCUAGCUCUCUUUAAAAACCAUUCUGAGACGUGUAAGGUAUUGUGUUGUGUUUGUUGCUGGAUUUAAGACUGCUGACUGCCAGGCGGUGAAGGUCACUUUGUGCUUCCUUCUUUAAGGCAAGUUGCUGCUGUUUAUAUUAACAAGGGAGCAGCAGUGCUGGCUAACUCCUGGCAUGUUAACCUGCAUCUCUCCCGGGCAGCAGGCCUCUGCUGCGCUCCCUCAGGACCUGUAUAGUUGGAGAGUUGUAUAUCAUGUAGGUGUCAAGCCCAAUCAGAGCUUCCUUGUCAGGAUGUGUUAAGGCAGUUGCCUGCAAUUUGUGUUACAGUGUGCAUCUCUGCCAAUAAACUACUUUUGCUCUCCCUUGUGCUGCGUCUGCCGUCUGCAGGGCUGCUGGGAGAGCUGCCAGAGAGAGAGAGCAACUGCAGGCACAAAGGUGGCUGGGUGGCACCUCUUGUAAUCUGUGUUCUGCAUGAUGUAUUGAUUGACUUUGUGGAUGGAUCCCAGGGGCUGAACACAAACAGCAUGUACCAGAGCAUGACAUUUUAAUCAGAGACAGGUUUAACUACUGGGAGCAGCUCGGGUAAUGCCUACUUUAAAAAAAAAAAAAAAAAAAAAAAAUUAAAGAAAGAAAAUUGCACCAAAAAAAAAAAAGGGUGUAUGCUGGUUAUUGCUUAGGAACUCUGUGUAGUCGUGCAGUUAAACAUGAGAUACAAAUGAGUAGGUUGUGACAGGACCAAGAGCACUUUGAAGUAAAGCUGUAGUAAGUGUAAAUUGGGGAUACAAGUCAAGACACUGAAAUAAGCUUUUUGCAUGUGCACGCGCAGACGCCAGGGCUAAGCAGCAGAUCCUGGUCAGUGCAGCACCAUUCCUGCCAGCCAGCUGUAAAAUCACUUGGCUCAGGGGAUAGAAAGGUGUUCAUGCUGCAGCAGGUUGGGCUGGCAGGGAACUAGAGAGAUUUAAAAGAAGGUGGCUGGAGUUUUCUCUGUGUUUGCAGAGUAUUUGUAUUAGAGAGUUGUGAGAAAGAUGGAGCUCUUUUGGGUUGGGUCAGCUCACCCCACCAAUAUCUUGAGUAAGGGUUGAAAAAUGACCGCCUCAGAAACGCUAGGGAAUGUUAUCCUCCUCCUUAGCCUGUAACACACUGUGUAGCAGAGUUUAACCUUCUGUAGUAAAAUCUCAGGCUCCCUGAAGAGCUCUGUUAACCUUGAAAAUCUGUGUAGUCUGUUACUUUCUACCUGCAAAGUAGAAAGCACCUCUUAUUCCCAGGCAUGAAUGACACUGAGUCUGGUCCAGAGGCAGACUUGAAAGGACAUCCAUCUGCUGUUUGUGGGAAUUUAACUGAGCAGAAACUUCUGAAACACCAAAAACAGAGAGAAUAGCAGAAUUAUUCCCAAAGCGCUGCCUGCCUUCUAAUUGCUGGCCACCUCCUUUUGUGAAAAGAAGCAAGAGAAAGAGUUCACACAAGCACGAGUGCUUUGCAGACUUCUCUUUUGGGGAAAGCAGUUGUCUUUCUUCUCUUGUUUUUGGAUGCUUAAAAUGAGGAAAGCAACAUAUCAGACUGCAGAGAGAGGAAAACCAGUCAAUGUUACCUUGGUAUCUGACGAUCAAAGGUAUGACCCCCCUCUGCUGUGCCCUGAGAACGGCAGUAACCAUUCCCUGAGGGAACAGCACGUAGUUCAAAGCAGGAAGUGUCCCUUCCCUCCCUGUGUGGCCACACAGACCAGGAGCUGCCUGUCUGCCUGCCUUGGGAGAGCAGGGUAUUUAGCUUUUCCCAAUAGAAAAAGGGCAGCUUAACCAGUUCUCCUCUGCCAACAAAAAGAAGCAGGGAGAUGAAUCUCAGAGAAUGACUAUUGCCUGGGUAGUGGCACGGCUGGCACCUAUUUCCUUGCGAAGAACCAGUGGGCUACAGUUAUUAAAUAACAGGAAUUUUUAAAAUUCAUGGUCAGCUUUACCACUGGGCUUCCUUUCAUCAUUUCAAAAGUCUGUGAUUUUAUUCUGACUACUAUAGUUUAAAUGCAGAAAAUAAUAGAAGCUAAGAGAAAAACUGUUCGUUCUUUGCAUUCAACUACCAUUUUACUGUGUGCAUUUUAACGCUCAAAAUGUAAUGGCUGCUGGCUGGCAUUUCUAUCCUGUUGUAGGGCCUGGAUUCCUCUCAUGUUUCUAAUGAGGCACAAAGUAUAGAGAACAUAAAUGACAGGAAAAAGCUACAGUUUUUUUAAUGACCAAAAUCAUAUAUAUUUUAAAGCUCUAGCCUAAGGUUACAGCACAACAAAGCAGGCAAUGUCUCUUUCAUCUGCAGUUUACUUGAAAACUAGGACUGAAUUUCAGUCUCCCCAGGUGACAGAAAGCAGCAGAGAGCCCCCAGUACAAAAGCAAAGACCCAGUCAUGCACCAUCCAGCACUGUAGAGUCUAUGUGAGCUAUCUUCCAAGAAUACGGUGAUACCUUUCUUUACAGGAGUAAAGCAGAUAAGGGAAGGACUGUCAGAGAGCCAAAUGAGACAAAAGGAAAUGAAGGAACAAUUAAAAUGAGUCAAUACUGUGAAGCUAUUAGGUGAGGGCAUUACAAUAUCUGAUGUGAGAGAUCUUAAUUGGGACACAUGUAACAUUUGCCCCCACCUCACCAGGCAAAGGGUUGCACUGACUUUGCUGUUAGAAAUGAUGAACAGCAUUGGCUCAUCUAAGUUCUUAAUAUACAUCACACCUUUUGUAUGAAUUUUCGCACGGAACUCUGGGGAAACUUUCUGAGAUGAGAAUUAUUUUUUGUCACCUGCAAAUUGCACUUUUGUGAGGGGCUAUACCGAGGAAAAAGUAGGUGAGAUGUUGUUGGGGCAAGCUGGAGCACCAAGGCUGCACAGCUGACAAAUGAGAUUUCUGACAAGGAGAGGUGUAGAGAAAAAGAA
Molecule: long non-coding RNA, 21628 nt
Organism: Pseudopipra pipra
Lineage: Eukaryota; Metazoa; Chordata; Aves; Passeriformes; Pipridae
Exons: 2
Source: RefSeq, a predicted model, not a curated record